Clarias gariepinus (North African catfish) is the source of this 690-nucleotide long non-coding RNA. RefSeq lists it as uncharacterized. The transcript is spliced from 3 exons. Lineage: Eukaryota; Metazoa; Chordata; Actinopteri; Siluriformes; Clariidae. The record is from RefSeq and is a predicted model, not a curated record.
CAGCUCUCUGAUGUCAGUGCUGCAGUCACACAAGGAUGAGUGAGCGAUUCCCAGGAGAUCCUGGUAAAGAGCUUGGUUGCAAAUAAAGUGGCAGCAAAGACAGAUGCGUCACCACAUCGGCUCAAUCAAUUCACAAGUUUUUGGCACAAGUUAUUGGCAGGUUUUAUGCCAGAUAUGAUUUCUGCUGUGACCAACCCUUUUGCAGGCUCGGGACUGGCACUGGGGAUGUCCUGCACAGCAAUGUGAAUGACUCAUUGCCAGUUUUCACACCACAUAAUUGCAGCUGUUGCUGCCAAAUCUGGUACAACCAGUUAUUAGGUUUAGGGUUAACUCUGGUUAUCUUUGUGUAAUAUAAAAAUUUGUUGGAUGAUUUGUAUGGCAAAGUGUGACAAAUAUAUAAAAAUUGUAUAAUUAAUAUAAACCAAAUGAAUAUUUGUGAAAAUAAAGACAAUAGAUAAUAUAUGUAACAAAACAUGUAUUACAAAAAGUCGGCUAAUAGCACAAUUAAACAAACAUAUUUUUGGUAAGGGCAUUGGGGAAACAAAAACUGUAGCAGCUGGUAAAUGAAUCAUCAGGAAAGUCACUGGGAAGAAGUCACAGAUUACAGUGCACCUGGGGCCAAUGUAUCCCAUAGUUAGUCAUGCCAAAUUGUUGCCUACUCUUUACGUCACUGUCUAGAAAUGUGUUCUA